AACGGUCUAUACCUGCGGUACCUGCGGAAGGAUCAUUAACAAGUUGGUUACUUCUCUAUGAAGUUCGCCAUCUUACCCUUGUGAACUUGUCUUUGUUGCUUCUGGUAGACUUGCCCAAGUCUGCCAGUUGGACGAUAACACUGUAACUUUUGAAAUGUCUGAGUUAUGAAUUAAUACAUUCAAAACUUUCAGCAAUGGAUCUCU
RNAcentral lists this unclassified non-coding RNA (204 nucleotides) under soil metagenome. RNAcentral describes it as "partial contains 5.8S ribosomal RNA, internal transcribed spacer 2, and large subunit ribosomal RNA". The record is from RNAcentral.